RNAcentral lists this small nuclear RNA (110 nucleotides) under Erinaceus europaeus (western European hedgehog). RNAcentral's name for it is "U11 spliceosomal RNA (ENSEEUG00000022858.1)". The stretch from base 13 to 110 matches the Rfam family "U11 spliceosomal RNA", at positions 6 to 103 of the family's 134-position model. Lineage: Eukaryota; Metazoa; Chordata; Mammalia; Eulipotyphla; Erinaceidae. The record is from RNAcentral.
AAAAAGAGGGUGGGGCUUCUGUCGUGAGCGACACACAGAGGGCAGUUCGUUUGCUCUACCUGUGGAAUCGACAUCGAGAGAUUUCGGAAGCAUAAUUUUUGUUGAUNNNN